AGUCAUAUGCUUGUCUCAAAGAUUAAGCCAUGCAUGUCUCAGUACAAGCCAAAUUAAGGUGAAACCGCGAAAGGCUCAUUAAAUCAGUUAUGGUUCCUUAGAUCGUACCCACAUUUACUUGGAUAACUGUGGUAAUUCUAGAGCUAAUACAUGCUUACAGAACUCUGACCGGAGACGGAAAGAGUGCUUUUAUUAGAUCAAAACCAAUCGGUGGCGGGCUUGCUCGUCAUCGUACAUCUUGGUGACUCUGAAUAACUUUUGCUGAUCGCACGGUCUCGCACCGGCGACGCAUCUUUCAAAUGUCUGCCUUAUCAACUGUCGAUGGUAGGUUCUGCGCCUACCAUGGUUGUAACGGGUAACGGGGAAUCAGGGUUCGAUUCCGGAGAGGGAGCCUGAGAAACGGCUACCACAUCCAAGGAAGGCAGCAGGCGCGCAAAUUACCCACUCCCGGCACGGGGAGGUAGUGACGAAAAAUAACGAUACGGGACUCAUCCGAGGCCCCGUAAUCGGAAUGAGUACACUCUAAACCUUUUAACAAGGAUCAAUUGGAGGGAAAGUCUGGUGCCAGCAGCCGCGGUAAUUCCAGCUCCAAUAGCGUAU
This 600-nucleotide ribosomal RNA is filed under the name Speonemadus vandalitiae. RNAcentral's name for it is "SSU rRNA". It matches the Rfam family "Eukaryotic small subunit ribosomal RNA", at positions 22 to 602 of the family's 1831-position model. The record is from RNAcentral. Lineage: Eukaryota; Metazoa; Arthropoda; Insecta; Coleoptera; Leiodidae.